CUGAGUCAAACCCUCGUGUCAAACAUGUACACAGGCCUAUGCAGUAACUGUAAUAUUGAUUAAAGUCUAUGUUUACCCAUAAAUCACUUGGGGAACACGGCUUGGAGACAUUUCUGGACAAAUUAUGAAAAUUGGACCCUCGUGGCAUCAACCAGCGUGGUGGAAAAAAACAUCCUCCUCAAAACAUUGGGAUGUUGCCAAGAUGCCAGUGUCCUACGGUCGAAAUCCCCAAACGCUCCUCACUGACAAGGAAGAUUUCGGAGAAUUUCUUGAUACCGUAAGCACUCUUCAACAGCUGAAACACCAGAUGGGCUGAGUAGUGCGUUGCUUUCUCAGCCCUGACAGCACGCUAACUCUUCCCAGCGGAGGAGGGAAUUCUCAUGACGCACCGCUCAGCCCGACCGUGGAUAUCAACCAGGCUGCACUCUCAAGAGUUUGGACAAACACGGUCCAUUGUUUUUUAGUUAUACUUUAGCUUUCCAAAAAUGUAGGAGUGCACAUAUGUCUCCAUUUGUGUUUGAAGGUAUUACUGCAAAAACAGCCCCAGAGGUAUUUCAGAUACAGGUUGUCCGAUGCUAGAUAUCGUGAAACACAGUUCGAAGCAAUUCAGGAUUACAAAUAAUGAAUUGAAAAUGAGUCCCUGUGUAAUAAGUCAUAUCAUUAGAACUGGAUUUUCCGUUUUCAUAAACCGAGUUUCUGUGUAAGAG
Molecule: long non-coding RNA, 707 nt
Organism: Gasterosteus aculeatus aculeatus (three-spined stickleback)
Lineage: Eukaryota; Metazoa; Chordata; Actinopteri; Perciformes; Gasterosteidae
Source: Ensembl